AUGGUCGCAAAGUACUCAACAAAGCUUCACUUUCUUCUUCUUCUUCUUCUUCUGUUAACCCGUUCUGCAACUCCAUUAAACUUAGUUUCUCCAGCUUCAGUGGCAGUUAUUACCCCACCAUACUCACAAAAGGGGAUGCCUUUUUCGAGGGCGGAUUCCUCCGCCUCACCAAAAGCGGGGAAGACCAGCUAAAGAACGGCAGCGCCGGCCGAGCCACCUACAGCCAACCCUUCCUCCUCCACGAAAAGGCCACCGGAAAACUCGCGGACUUCACCACUAGUUUCGACUUCGCCAUCGACUCGCUCAAACAAUCCACCUACGGGGACGGCCUCGCCUUCUUCAUAGCCCCAAGCGGGUCCUUCCUCCUCAACGACACAGAACCAGCAGGUGGUAACAAUCUCGGCCUCCCCGUCAACUUCGCAUCUCCAAACGACACCGCUUUCGUGGCGGUGGAGUUUGACAUCUACGCGUAUUCAACGACCGACCCCCCGUACGAUCACGUGGGCAUCGACGUCAACUCUCUCAACUCUACCAUUUUCAGACGUUGGAAAGGAGGUAUUAUGGAAGGAAAAACAAAUAAUGCUACCAUUAGUUACAAUUCCACUUCAAAAAACCUGAGUGUUGCCUUCACUACUUUUGCACCCGAUUCGAAUGUUACACAAGAGAUGACACAUUUUUCUGACAUUAUUGAUCUGAAACAGUACUUGCCCGACUUGGUCGUUGUCGGGUUCUCUGCUUCAACCGGUAACUAUAUUUCUCUGAAUAAGAUCAUCUCAUGGAAUUUCAGUUCAACUUCACUAGGUGAUCGUGAUACUAAUUCUAACCGCAAGUCAGGAAAUAAGAGUAUAGGACUAGCAGUUGGGUUGGGGAUUGGUGGCUGUGCUGUGUUGUUCGGUGGGUUGGGUUUGGGUUGGUUCAUCAUGUGGAAGAAGAGGGAAAGAGCUAGGGAAAGUAGUGAUGAAGAUCAUACUAUGGUUCAUGAAUUGAUUGAUGACGAAUUUGAAAAUGGGGCUGGCCCGAGGAAGUUUUCGUAUAGCGAAUUGGCUCGGGCCACGAGUAAUUUUGAGGAGGGAGAAAAGCUUGGGGAGGGAGGAUUCGGUGGGGUUUAUAAAGGUUUUAUACCUGACUUGAACUCAUAUGUUGCUGUUAAGAGAAUCUUGAGUAGUUCUAAACAAGGACCGAAGGAGUAUGCAUCCGAAGUAAAGAUCAUCAGUCGACUUAGGCAUCGCAAUCUUGUGCAACUGAUUGGCUGGUGCCACGAAAGAAAAUUCUUACUUGUGUACGAGCUCAUGCCGAAUGGGAGCUUAGAUUCUCAUUUGUUUAAAGAACAAAGCUUGUUAACUUGGGAGGCAAGAUACAAAAUUGCUCAAGGUUUGGCCUCUGGGUUGUUCUAUCUACAUGAAGAGUGGGAGCAAUGUGUGCUGCAUAGGGAUAUUAAAUCGAGCAAUGUUAUGUUAGAUUCAAAUUUCAACGCAAAACUUGGGGAUUUUGGGUUAGCUAGACUUGUGGACCACGGAAAACAGUCGCAAACCACAAUCUUGGCUGGAACCAUGGGUUACAUGGCUCCGGAUUAUCUCAACACCGGAAAGGCUAGCAAAGAAUCAGAUGUCUACAGCUUCGGAGUUGUUGCUUUGGAAAUAGCAUGCGGGAGAAAACCCAUCGAUCCAAAGUUUGGAAGUAUUCAAAGCAAUAUGGUUGAGUGGGUUUGGGAGCUUUACGGAGAAGAUAGAGUCAAUGAAGCAGCUGACCCAAAACUAUGUGGGGAUUUUGAUAAGAAACAAAUGGAGUGCUUGAUGAUUGUUGGGUUGUGGUGUGCUCAUCCAGACUACAACAUGAGGCCUUCAAUACAACAAGCAAUUCAAGUGCUUAACUUCGAGGUACCGUUGCCGAAUCUCCCAUCAAAGAUGCCGGUGGCCGUCUAUUUUGCUCCUCCGAAAUCACUCUCAAUGUUGUUUAGAGAUAUUAGUGAUUCUCAAGGAGGCCAAACUGAGUUGUCUUCAGGCCAAACUAACUCCUCACAGUUCAGCGCACCUUCUUCUACCACAAAUUCUCAUCCAAAAAUUUCACUUGGGUAAGAAAGAAGCCUAACUAAAUAAUUUUGAUUCUAAACUUUUUAAAUUUUUUGUAAUUCCACUG
RNA transcript from Prunus dulcis (almond), 2136 nucleotides. It is a transcript of the gene named L-type lectin-domain containing receptor kinase IX.1-like, with no coding region annotated. The transcript has a single exon. The record is from RefSeq and is a predicted model, not a curated record. NCBI's taxonomy places the organism in Eukaryota, Viridiplantae, Streptophyta, Magnoliopsida, Rosales, Rosaceae.